RNAcentral lists this ribosomal RNA (497 nucleotides) under uncultured bacterium. RNAcentral describes it as "partial 16S ribosomal RNA". It matches the Rfam family "Bacterial small subunit ribosomal RNA", at positions 28 to 507 of the family's 1533-position model. The record is from RNAcentral.
GAUGAACGCUGGCGGCGUGCCUAAUACAUGCAAGUCGAGCGAACAGACGAGGAGCUUGCUCCUCUGACGUUAGCGGCGGACGGGUGAGUAACACGUGGAUAACCUACCUAUAAGACUGGGAUAACUUCGGGAAACCGGAGCUAAUACCGGAUAAUAUAUUGAACCGCAGGGUUCAAUAGUGAAAGACGGUUUUGCUGUCACUUAUAGAUGGAUCCGCGCCGCAUUAGCUAGUUGGUAAGGUAACGGCUUACCAAGGCAAGGAUGCGUAACCGACCUGAGAGGGUGAUCGGCCACCUUGGAAGUGAGCCGCGGUCCAGACUCCUACGGGAGGCAGCAGUAGGGAAUCUUCCGCAAUGGGCGAAAGCCUGACGGAGCAACGCCGCGUGAGUGAUGAAGGUCUUCGGAUCGUAAAACUCUGUUAUUAGGGAAGAACAAAUGUGUAAGUAACUAUGCACGUCUUGACGGUACCUAAUCAGAAAGCCACGGCUAACUACGUG